AUUGAACGCUGGCGGCAGGCCUAACACAUGCAAGUCGAACGGUAACAGGAAGAAGCUUGCUUCUUUGCUGACGAGUGGCGGACGGGUGAGUAAUGUCUGGGAAACUGCCUGAUGGAGGGGGAUAACUACUGGAAACGGUAGCUAAUACCGCAUAAUGUCGCAAGACCAAAGAGGGGGACCUUCGGGCCUCUUGCCAUCGGAUGUGCCCAGAUGGGAUUAGCUAGUAGGUGGGGUAACGGCUCACCUAGGCGACGAUCCCUAGCUGGUCUGAGAGGAUGACCAGCCACACUGGAACUGAGACACGGUCCAGACUCCGACGGGAGGCAGCAGUGGGGAAUAUUGCACAAUGGGCGCAAGCCUGAUGCAGCUAUGCCGCGUGUAUGAAGAAGGCCUUCGGGUUGUAAAGUACUUUCAGCGGGGAGGAAGGGAGUAAAGUUAAUACCUUUGCUCAUUGACGUUACCCGCAGAAGAAGCACCGGCUAACUCCGUG
Molecule: ribosomal RNA, 490 nt
Filed under: uncultured bacterium
Lineage: Bacteria
Description: partial 16S ribosomal RNA
Rfam family: Bacterial small subunit ribosomal RNA
Source: RNAcentral